Non-coding RNA from Solanum lycopersicum (tomato), 3957 nucleotides. The record is from RefSeq and is a predicted model, not a curated record. NCBI's taxonomy places the organism in Eukaryota, Viridiplantae, Streptophyta, Magnoliopsida, Solanales, Solanaceae.
UAAAAUUGAUAGCAUAAUAAAUAAUAUUAAUUAGAACUUUUGAGGCCUAUUUAAGAUUCUAAACUUGUAAUAGUAGAGGCAAUAAAAAUCUUACUGAUUUUGAAAAACCUCUCUACACUUUCUCCAAUUUCCCAUAUUAUGCAUUUUCCCAUCUUUGUUCUCUUUUUCCGUAAAUCAAUAAAAAUUUAUCUAACAUAUUUCCAAUGCUAAUAUCGUCAUGGGAGGCAACAGUCUCUAAUAACUCAAAUUUGAUUCCGUAUAAGUGUGGCGGUUUAAUUGCAUUGAUUUGGAAGUUUAACAGAAGAGGAAGGCUCAUGUUCUGGAGUGAAUUCUUGAUUGGUUGAGGCAAGUAGAUUUGUAAACUCUAGUUAAGUGUAUGAAAUUUGUGUAUUUAUUUGUGGUAUAUGUGUGGGAGUAAUGGGACUUGGUGAUGGGUUUACUUGUCCACAUUGAUUAAUUCUAAUGAUGAAAACAAAGUGUAGUAAAAGGCAAUGUGAAUAAUUGCUUGUGAGAUGUGUUGAUAAUAAAGAAUGGUUUGAAAAGUUUGUUGAAUCAUUGUUGAUGUUGUUUUGAAUUGUGCAGUGUUAUGAAAGUUGUCAUAUCCUCUUUACAUGUGUGAACAUGUCAUUUGCAUUAUUGUAAGACAUGGUUGUGAAAGUGUUAUGUGUAUUGAGAAAGAAUGACAACUUAAAAAUGAUGUACUAUUUCGAGAGACGCAUCGCGCGCCGUGAUGGUUACUAUUAUUGAGGGUCGUGUUGUAAGCCACGACAGAUGCAUGGACAGAUAUUUUCCCCAUGGGUCUCGGACUGACAGACAGCGGGUGUGUAUCACUAGGUCAGACAUGCAUCAUUAUACUUGACAUUGUAUUCCAUUGCAUUACACAUAUUUAUCAUUAGUGAACUUGAUAUCGUGUUUUUUUGAUCUUCUAAUUAUCUUUCUGUGGAACUUGUGAUUGAUCAAUAUUGAGCUUGUAAUUGCGGAUAUAUAAUUUGUUGAAGUAUUGUUGUUGAGGAUAUGUAAUUUGUUGAAGUGUUGUUGUUGAGGAUAUGUAAUUUGUCUAAGUGAUGUUGUUGAGCUACGUGCUAUGUAAACUGUGAGUUGUUAGGCUGGGUUGAUUUUUAAUGCAGGUUGUAGUUGCGGAGGUUCGGUUGGGGGUGGUAGGAGUACCACUAUUUCAUCCCCUUUGCUUGUGAUUAGAGGUUUACUUGUUGAGUACCGUGUGGUUUGGUACUCACCCCUUGCUUCUACAAAUUUUUGUUGGUUAUGAGACUGAAUUUUUGUUAUACUUGUCAUUCUCUUCUUUUCUGAGGCUUCUUGGAGAUUUGUGAGGUAGUUGUUUCCGUCCCAUCAGACUUUCUUCUCCAUAAUUAUGAUCUUGUUCUAUUCUAGAAACAAGUUGAUUUGAGACUUGUGUUUUUCUUUUGAAUCAAUUGUAAUACUUUAGAGGCUUUUACACGUGACUACUAGAUUUUCGGGGUAUAAUGUAAGUUGAUAGUAAAUUUUCCGCAUUUUUAUUGAAAUAGUUGAGUUUUAGGAUGACUUGUCUUUAUGGGAUAAGACGAGUACCAUCAUGUCCAUUUUAGGUCGUGAAAAAAAUUGUAUCAGAGCCCCAUGUUCAUAAGUAUCACGUGUAUACAAGUCGAGUCUAACUAGAGUCUUGAGGAUAGGUAUGGAGACGUCUAUACUUAUCUUCGAGAGGCUAUAAUGACAUUUAGGAAAAAUAACUCCACUUCUUGAAUCUCUCUCGUGCAUCAUUGUCCGUUCUGAUUCUUAUUGCGUUAUUUCAUUAUCUCUCACCUAUUUUGAUGAGUCGUGUGUGGUUCCUUAAGUUUGAAGUUGGUGUUUCCUAUAUGGUUUGGAGGUUAGACCUGAUAAUAAGAUGAAAAAGAUGCGUGAUCAGAUUUGAAAUGUUCAAUUUGAAACAAUUGAAUUAGGUGAUGCCUUGGCGAUGAUUUUCGUAGAAUUUCUAAAUGGUGAGGUUGAACAAUGGUCUGAUGAACUUCAUGAAUGUGUUAUCCUCUUCAGGUUAGUUUACCCAACUGAGGGAAUAAUAGUUAGUGGUAUAGAUAAUAUCUGGAGUGGUUUGACAAGUUGAAAUGGAAUGAUUAAAAUGAUGGCUUGAUAACAAAUAGUAUAACCUUGGAAAAUACAAUUGGCAUAGUUGUCAUAACAUAUAUGGAUUUCUUAGAGAAUAAUGUUGCAUUAAUCAAGGUUAGAGUCUUUCAUAGAUUGAGUGUAUAUAAAAAAGGUUGAUAGUACGACUACUAUACUAGUACCGAUUCUUACUUGUUUCGAGUUAGAGAAUGUGUACUCUUAUUAUUGACCUGAGCUACGAAGGAAUGCAUAUAGUGUUGGAAAACAAAUCAAAUAAAUUUGAUAGUGUAUGUUAGUUCCUUAAUGGGGCAGAAAUGUGUAGGCUAUUUGGGUACAAUAUUCUCCAUAGUUAUAAGGUUUUGUAGUAAUGGAUUUAACAAACUUAACAAUGUGGUACUAGUGGCUUAUGGAAAUGAAUAAAGUGAUGUCAAGUGUGAGUACUAACUAAUUAAAGAGUUAUCAAUAGUAUCACAUGCUCGUAUAAUGAUAUUCGAUGUUGUAUUCACAUUUGAGAAACCAACUAACUUGUAACUACAGACAAAUAAGUCAAGCAUUGUUUGUAAGGGGAAUUUUUAGUGGUGGAUUUUCGAUUUCAUAUUAAUGUGUUUAGGUUGUUGAGUGUAUCUUGAGAUAUUUAACAAAGGACAAGUGAUUUCAUCAUAAGCUCCAAUUUAAUGAAUUAAUGUUGAAAUGCCAAGCUUGUGGGUAAAGGAAGUCCUAACGUGUAUAAUUGUGUGAAGGCAAUUGAGAAUUUUAGUAAGAAAUUAUAUAAGAUUGAAUUAGAUUGAAUUAGAUUGGUAUAGAUGGGUUUGAAAUGUCAUGAACCUUAAAAGGUUGACUCUGAGAUGAGAAAAAUGUCUAAUGAGCAUAACGAUAUUAAGAAUUUGUAAUGAAAUAGUAAUUCAGAUGCAACUAUAUGAUAAAGAUUGUUGGUUAAACAAAUUUUGUAUGGUAAUAACUACUUGAAAGUAUCUAAUAUAGUAGUUUCCACUAUUUGAUGAGUAAUGUUGUUGUAUAGAGAGUCUAAGAAUAUGUAGAGACACUGCUCGCAUUAAAUUUGAAGCAUCUACAGUCAUACUGAAAAAAGUGUGGAAUGUAGUGGAGCCUUCAGAAAGUGGUGAGAGUAAGUUUAUUUUUUUCUUAUUGCAAAGUCUAAAGGGGUGUCUUCAAAUGGAUUGAGAACUGGGUUUAGAGACAUGUCAUUUAUUUCAAUUUGCUUUGGUUAUGAUAAUAAUGUCACAGGUUUAUCAAAUUGGUUAAAAACUACUGGAUAAGACUUGAGAAAGGAGUGUAUAUACGUUCAACUCGAGUGUGAUUAUAAAUUCUAUUGUGAUCUUGAGUUUGAUAAUUAGUAUAAUGGUUCAAUUUUUACCGAAGGAUAUGAUAAGAUCGAUAGAAAGGCAAAAUGAAAAGGUAAUACAAAUGAAUUCAUAAGAAUCUUCGAGGUAUGUGUUAAUGUUAAUAAUGAUGGGAUUGUGAUACAUGGUUGGCAAUUUUUUUUUUAGAUUUUCAUUGUGAGUUAUAAUUCUGGUAGUGUUAUUUUUCAAUGUAUGGAUUGGUAAGGUAAUAAAUGUCGAUCACAGUGAGUAUAAAGCACUUGGCAAGACUUAAAAGUAUUGGAUUAGUAAAUUUUGUUACUUUUCAUUGUUAUACUUAACGGGGGUUUCAAUAUAUCUGUAACGACCUAUUUAGUCAUUUUGAGCAGUAGAGUAUUUCUGGUAAUAAUUGUCUGAGUCGACGGAUCCCACGAUGGACCGUCAUGGCCACGACGGACUAUCGAGGGUGUCUACUUCCAAAACACUUAGAAUUCUUAAAUUUGGGUAAUCAGAUAGACUUUCUGAACUUCACGAGGAAAAUGGCAGG